GACGAACGCUGGCGGCGUGCUUAACACAUGCAAGUCGAACGGAAAGGCCCUGCUUUUGUGGGGUGCUCGAGUGGCGAACGGGUGAGUAACACGUGAGUAACCUGCCCUUGACUUUGGGAUAACUUCAGGAAACUGGGGCUAAUACCGGAUAGGAGCUCCUGCUGCAUGGUGGGGGUUGGAAAGUUUCGGCGGUUGGGGAUGGACUCGCGGCUUAUCAGCUUGUUGGUGGGGUAGUGGCUUACCAAGGCUUUGACGGGUAGCCGGCCUGGGAGGGUGACCGGCCACAUUGGGACUGAGGUACGGCCCAGACUCCUACGGGAGGCAGCAGUGGGGAAUAUUGCGCAAUGGGCGGAAGCCUGAUGCAGCAGCGCCGCGUGCGGGAUGACGGCCUUCGGGUUGUAAACCGCUUUCGCCUGUGACGAAGCGUGAGUGACGGUAAUGGGUAAAGAAGCACCGGCUAACUACGUG
RNAcentral lists this ribosomal RNA (468 nucleotides) under uncultured bacterium. Its description in RNAcentral is "partial 16S ribosomal RNA". It matches the Rfam family "Bacterial small subunit ribosomal RNA", at positions 28 to 507 of the family's 1533-position model. The record is from RNAcentral.